UAUUGUGGUAGUUUCUGUAUUUGGCAGUUCUGUAACUGUAUCAGAGCAGCCUUUAAACUACCACAGAGAUCAGAAGGGAGAAGGCUGUGCUGAGAACUUUUUCAAGCUUUUAGUUUUCAGCUUUUUGUUCCUCUCCUACAGAA
Molecule: small nucleolar RNA, 143 nt
Organism: Athene cunicularia (burrowing owl)
Lineage: Eukaryota; Metazoa; Chordata; Aves; Strigiformes; Strigidae
Product: small nucleolar RNA SNORA12
Source: Ensembl